RNAcentral lists this ribosomal RNA (465 nucleotides) under uncultured bacterium. RNAcentral describes it as "partial 16S ribosomal RNA". It matches the Rfam family "Bacterial small subunit ribosomal RNA", at positions 29 to 507 of the family's 1533-position model. The record is from RNAcentral.
ACGAACGCUGGCGGCGCGCCUCACACAUGCCAGUCGAACGCGCGAGAGAGAGUUUGCUUUCUCGAGCGAGUGGCGAACGGGUGAGUAACGCGUGAGGAACCUGCCUCAAAGAGGGGGACAACAGUUGGAAACGACUGCUAAUACCGCAUAAGCCCACGACCCGGCAUCGGGUAGAGGGAAAAGGAGCAAUCCGCUUUGAGAUGGCCUCGCGUCCGAUUAGCUAGUUGGUGAGGUAACGGCCCACCAAGGCGACGAUCGGUAGCCGGACUGAGAGGUUGAACGGCCACAUUGGGACUGAGACACGGCCCAGACUCCUACGGGAGGCAGCAGUGGGGAAUAUUGCACAAUGGGGGAAACCCUGAUGCAGCGACGCCGCGUGGAGGAAGAAGGUCUUCGGAUUGUAAACUCCUGUUGUUGAGGAAGAUAAUGACGGUACUCAACAAGGAAGUGACGGCUAACUACGUG